Molecule: ribosomal RNA, 433 nt
Filed under: uncultured bacterium
Lineage: Bacteria
Description: partial 16S ribosomal RNA
Rfam family: Bacterial small subunit ribosomal RNA
Source: RNAcentral
AGCGAACGCUGGCGGCAGGCUUAACACAUGCAAGUCGAGCGGGCACUUCGGUGUCAGCGGCAGACGGGUGAGUAACACGUGGGAACGUACCCUUCGGUUCGGAAUAACGCUGGGAAACUAGCGCUAAUACCGGAUACGCCCUUUUGGGGAAAGGUUUACUGCCCAAGGAUCGGCCCGCGUCUGAUUAGCUAGUUGGUGGGGUAAUGGCCUACCAAGGCGACGAUCAGUAGCUGGUCUGAGAGGAUGAUCAGCCACACUGGGACUGAGACACGGCCCAGACUCCUACGGGAGGCAGCAGUGGGGAAUAUUGGACAAUGGGCGCAAGCCUGAUCCAGCCAUGCCGCGUGAGUGAUGAAGGCCUUAGGGUUGUAAAGCUCUUUUGUCCGGGACGAUAAUGACGGUACCGGAAGAAUAAGCCCCGGCUAACUUCGUG